CCUACGGGGGGCAGCAGUGGGGAAUAUUGGACAAUGGGGGGAACCCUGAUCCAGCGACGCCGCGUGAGUGAAGAAGUAUUUCGGUAUGUAAAGCUCUAUCAGCAGGGAAGAAAAUGACGGUACCUGACUAAGAAGCCCCGGCUAAACACGUGCCAGCAGCCGCGGUAAUACGUAGGGGGCAAGCGGUAUCCGGAUUUACUGGGUGGAAAGGGAGCGGAGGCGGUACAGCAAGUCUGAUGUGAAAGGUCGGGGCCCAACCCCGGUACUGCAUUGGAAACUGUUGGACUAGAGUGCAGGCGAGGUAGGCGGAAUUCCUGGUGUAGCGGUGAAAUGCGUAGAGAUCAGGAGGAACACCGGUGGCGAAGGCGGCUUACUGGACUGUAACUGACGUUGAGGCUCGAAAGCGUGGGGAGCAAACAGGAUUAGAUACCCGAGUAGUC
This 440-nucleotide ribosomal RNA is filed under the name uncultured bacterium. RNAcentral describes it as "partial 16S ribosomal RNA". It matches the Rfam family "Bacterial small subunit ribosomal RNA", at positions 338 to 795 of the family's 1533-position model. The record is from RNAcentral.